RNA transcript from Panicum virgatum (switchgrass), 1554 nucleotides. RefSeq lists it as uncharacterized. The transcript is spliced from 4 exons. The record is from RefSeq and is a predicted model, not a curated record. NCBI's taxonomy places the organism in Eukaryota, Viridiplantae, Streptophyta, Magnoliopsida, Poales, Poaceae.
AAUUUCCCCUAAACCCCAAAUCCGUGAGAUUUAUCAUUGGUUUUCAGAGGGUGCUCGGUUGUAGAUGUGCUUUUGCAAACAAUUAAGUGAUUUCCGCAAAUCCCCGACCCCUUAUCACGCCACAAAUGAUUCCACAUAAUCCCUAUCCUUCUCUACAUUUUUUUUUGCCACAGGAUCUCGUGACAUCCCUGGGCAGUUAUGCCCAUCUCACUUUUCUUUCUCAAAUGUGCAUUGUAGGUCUGGAUCUGUACCAUGCUACAUUUCUUUAUCCCUGAACUUGUGAUGGUGCUCCUCUGAUCCAUUUAUUAUGUAUAAUAUCUGGUUUUCUGCACUUUUUUAUUAUUUUGCACUGCAGCUACAAUCCAUCCAUCUGUUUUUUUACUGAUCUGAGGCAUUUUGCAUAUGAAGUGAUGAUCUCUCUACUCUUUUCUUACUCACUUUGCCAUAUGCAGUGUUGACAUUCAUUUUCCACGUACUGAACUGACCCAUUUGAACUUAAGCUUGUGAAGGGGCAGAGUACUAGGAUGGGCAUGAUGAACUGCGGUUGAUAGAUAACCUAAAUUACCUUCAACCAAGUCGGCUGCUUUGCUUCCGAGUGUUGGACAUUUUUUUUUCUUUUGACCAUAGUGCAGCAAUCUAAUUAAUGAAUGAAAUAUGGAUAAGUUUGAUAGAUAACCUGAAUUACCUUCAACCAAGAAGUGUCAAUAUGUGUUUAUUUUCAGUAAAAGGCUAAAGUUUUCGUUGUUAUGCCUUUCUCGAUGAAGUGCUAAAUUAUGUCCCUAUCUUCAGUUCCUGAUUUUAUAAUUACGUUUACUUGGGAUAUAAGGCUCUGCUGUUGUGAGUUGCUAAAUAUUCCAACCACUUUCACCUGCAGGUGUAACUUCCACAGAAGGAUUCUCUUGAUGAUGGCUUAUGCACACACCAUUGUUUUCAAGUUCCUGUGUAGAUCAGGAAAAGCUGAUGAGCGUUGUGCACGCCUUGAGCUUGGAUGCCGCUGCAGCGCGGUCCGGCCGACGCUGGUGCUUGGGCAGGUUGAACCAUAAAACAUGGUGGCUGUGUUCUCUUUCGGGACUAUGCCUUUGGGGACCUUGCACAGAUGAAUAUCUGAUUGACUUAUUCUCAAAAUGUGGAUUUACUCUUGAGGAAAUAUGUGUGCACAACAAGCAAUUUGAAAACCAUUCACUUGACUUGGUGAUGAACAGGUGGUUUCUUUUUUUGCCAGCAUUGCUAAUGAUUUUUACUAUAUAUCUCUACAGUGAACUUAUAGAGAAAUGAGUUAGCUGUAUUCUUCACUCCAAACACUAUCUCUGUAACAUUUUCAAAAUAGAAAGUUCAGCGACCAGAGUUACUGAUAGUAUAUGCAUUUCAGUAUGAUAAAUUUGAAUUUUCUGAGCACCGUGUACGUUCUAAAAAUGCAUGAUUCUUUAGUUUUCUUUUACUUAGCUCUUUGCUUUCCUCUAUCAUCAAUAUGCAUUAUAUUAAGUUGUACAUGGCAUAAAAGAUUGAUGAAAUCAAGUAUCUAUUAAUGUAUUGUGCUGGAUCCUAGCUUGCUUA